RNAcentral lists this ribosomal RNA (497 nucleotides) under uncultured bacterium. Its description in RNAcentral is "partial 16S ribosomal RNA". It matches the Rfam family "Bacterial small subunit ribosomal RNA", at positions 28 to 507 of the family's 1533-position model. The record is from RNAcentral.
GAUGAACGCUGGCGGCGUGCCUAAUACAUGCAAGUCGAGCGAACGGACGAGAAGCUUGCUUCUCUGGUGUUAGCGGCGGACGGGUGAGUAACACGUGGAUAACCUACCUAUAAGACUGGGAUAACUUCGGGAAACCGUAGCUAAUACCGGAUAAUAUUUUGAACCGCAUGGUUCAAAAGUGAAAGACGGUCUUGCCGUCAAUUAUAGAUGGAUCCGCGCUGCAUUAGCUAGUUGGUAAGGUAACGGCUUACCAAGGCAACGAUGCAUAGCCGACCUGAGAGGGUGAUCGGCCACACUGGAACUGAGACACGGUCCAGACUCCUACGGGAGGCAGCAGUAGGGAAUCUUCCGCAAUGGGCGAAAGCCUGACGGAGCAACGCCGCGUGAGUGAUGAAGGUCUUCGGAUCGUAAAACUCUGUUAUUAGGGAAGAACAUAUGUGUAAGUAACUGUGCACAUCUUGACGGUACCUAAUCAGAAAGCCACGGCUAACUACGUG